Molecule: ribosomal RNA, 253 nt
Filed under: uncultured bacterium
Lineage: Bacteria
Description: partial 16S ribosomal RNA
Rfam family: Bacterial small subunit ribosomal RNA
Source: RNAcentral
UACGAAGGGGGCUAGCGUUGUUCGGAAUUACUGGGCGUAAAGCGCACGUAGGCGGGUUGUUAAGUCAGGGGUGAAAUCCCGGAGCUCAACUCCGGAACUGCCUUUGAUACUGGCAAUCUAGAGUUCGGAAGAGGUGAGUGGAAUUCCCAGUGUAGAGGUGAAAUUCGUAGAUAUUGGGAAGAACACCAGUGGCGAAGGCGGCUCACUGGUCCGAUACUGACGCUGAGGUGCGAAAGCGUGGGGAGCAAACAGG